GACGUAGGGCGCGAGCGUUGUCCGGAUUUAUUGGGCGUAAAGAGCUCGUAGGCGGCUUGUCGCGUCGACUGUGAAAACCCGCGGCUCAACCGCGGGCUUGCAGUCGAUACGGGCAGGCUAGAGUUUGGUAGGGGAGACUGGAAUUCCUGGUGUAGCGGUGAAAUGCGCAGAUAUCAGGUGGAACACCAGUGGCGAAGGCGGCCUUCUGGGCCGAUACUGACGCUGAUGCGCGAAAGCGUGGGGAGCGAACAGG
RNAcentral lists this ribosomal RNA (253 nucleotides) under uncultured bacterium. RNAcentral describes it as "partial 16S ribosomal RNA". It matches the Rfam family "Bacterial small subunit ribosomal RNA", at positions 524 to 776 of the family's 1533-position model. The record is from RNAcentral.